RNAcentral lists this unclassified non-coding RNA (293 nucleotides) under Hevea brasiliensis (rubber tree). Lineage: Eukaryota; Viridiplantae; Streptophyta; Magnoliopsida; Malpighiales; Euphorbiaceae. The record is from RNAcentral.
UGCUUUGGAGGCUACCGGCGUUGAUAAUUGCAGUAUGCAAAUUGAAACCUCUGAUACUCACGAUUCAUCAGUUGAGGUUCCUAUUCUGGAUGGAUCAGCAAGAGAAUGGGUGGACGCAAUUGAAGAAGCUGGGCUGAAGGCAGCAUUAGAUCGUAGCGGUAAUAGCUGUGAGAAAUUAGCUCCUGUUCUUAGAGAACCUGUUACUGUAUGGAAAAAUGAUUCUUUUAUAGCUGCAUUCCCUUAUUCAGAGGUCAAGAUUACCUAUGGCAUCGACUUUCCACGGGCACCCGAAA